CUGCAGUGCGUUACGCAUUCUGUGCAACAGUGCCUUUUUAGCUCCCAACAACCCCUUUGUGAGUUGAUUGUUAAAGAGGGUAAAUUUGUACAGUUAAUAUUUAAUGCACAAAUUUGUAAGUCGGGUUGCUGUUUGGGUUAGCUUUACUAAGGUAAUGUUGUUGUAGUGUUUGUUCAUUUAAAACUAAAAUCCUUUCCAAGCACAGACCUGACACUGCAAAUGCAGGCCUAUGGAUCCGCCUCAGUUUGACACUUAACAAAAUAAUAUUCAUGCACUCAGUUCUGACAGUUAUGUAACAGAUUUGCAAAAAAAAAAACUCUAGAGUUUAAAACAGAAAGAUAUUUUUUAAAAGAAUGUAAGUUAAGUUGCUGUAGCUAAGACUUUUCUAAAAGUUGGGGUUUACCUGGAUCUUGUCACAGCCACAAUGGUGCAUUCUUUGAUCCAGGUGUCCAGGUGAUUGGUGCUUCUGGAAGAACGAAAAUGCAUGAGAACCUGCUGUUUACUUUCUUCUACCUGCGCCUGUAAACACUCAAAGACCAAGCGCAUCACUGUUGAUAUUUCUACCUGGCAGUGUUGAAGUAAACUGACAUUUGACAGCAUUAUGCCUCACGUGAUUAUUUCUUGGGGUGAGAGAUAGAGAGUGAAAGUGUGUGUUGAGGAAGUGGGGAUAAAGAACAAUGUUUAUUUCUGAGUCCUACAGUUCCAACAGUCAGUAUCCUUGUACAAUGUUCAGCACUCUGAAUACUGAACACAAGUGGUAUUGCAUGUUGAAACCCCUCACUUAAGUUAACAUGAAGAACACCAUGCGUAUCCAUCCCUCCCGUGCUGAGGCAAACUCAGUGAACACAGCUAUGGGCUGCUGAUUGGCUUCUCCACUGUCUGGUGAAGCCAUUUUUCUCAGCGCAGUGAUGCCCCAUACUGCCAGAAAAUAUAUGCCUUUCCAAGUUUGGGUUAGCCUAUCAUAGGACAAAUACCCAACACAGUUCAAUAUAACAAUUUUUGUUUGCAUACUAGCACCUUUUACCAAAAGCAGCCCCAGGUGCUUCACACAAACAAAAGGACCAGGGCAUAAUAAUAGUAAUAAUCAUUAAUGAAGUCAAAAGAAUAAUUAUGAAUUUGGGAGAAGAACUACAAACAAUGUUUUAACAGCAAGAGAUAAUGUAGUGACUAAAAUUAAUGCAAACAACAGCUCUUAUUGGCUAAUAAGUGUUCCAGGCAUAUUUACCAUUUUGUUAAUUUACCCAAUUUUUAUGAUACAUUUUCAAUUGUAGAAAUUAAGAUGUUUUGAUUAACCAGUUUGUUUAUGCCAUACAUAUUGUUUCUUUUAAUACAGAGAGAAAAGCUACCACAUGUAUAGUAAGUGCCUAUUCAGUGAAAUUAAAAUUAAGUUUUUUUUUUUUUUUACCAAAAUGAAUGGGCAUUAGUGCCAUUUCUGCUUCUUUUUAUUGCAAUCAAAGUAAAAAAUCAUAUGUACAAAUUACAGAACAAAAACAAAGAUGUUCUAGUAAAUGGAUACCAAGAACAAGGCUUAGAAAUAAAAUGAACAAAAAACAGAGUAUGCUAAGUAAGUGUAGCAGGGCAGAUGGCUAACUGAAACAGGUUUGAUGUGAAUGAGAAGAAGUGUUAGAAGAACUUUUAGAAGUGUUACUUCCUCAUGCACUCUAAUUGAUGCACUCUAAUCCAGAGCGACUUGCACAACUUUUAGCAUUUUCACACAGUAUCCAUUUUUACAUCUGGAUAUGUACUGAAGGACACGGCUGUCUCUCAAGGGGGCAACAGCUGAGUAAUCCCUGGGAACUGAACACUGAAUCCAGUUCCCAAACCAUCAUACUUCAAACGCUAAACGUCAUACGUGGGAUUCCCAACAUCUUUCAACAGAUUACAAACAGAUGAUACCUGUAAUAACCUGCAUUAAUAAUUUAAGAUAAAGCCUGAUUUUCUUUGGUAAAAAACCACUUCUUAAUGUACCAAACUGUUUUCAAAUGUUUAUUGAAGUAUUCUAAAACAUAGCAAUCAGCAAGCAAUUGACAACAAUAAAACAGACACCAAUAAAAAGAAAAUCAUCAACAAAAAAAACAAAAAAACAAACAUAAACAACAGACUCUUACACACACAAUAUCCUUUGCAUUGCAAUCAUUUUCUUGGCAGGAGUUUAACCUGAUAGUAUAAUGAGUUCUUGGAAAGCUGCUUAGAAACACUGAGCCUUGAAAGAUGCAAAAUGUUUAGAUGCAAUACAUGCACUGAUGCAGGCAUUGUCACAUGAAUAAGAUCAGGCAUUGUCACCCGAAUAAGAUCAGGUAUUUUCACCUGAAUAAGAUCAGGUAUUUUCACGUGAAUAAGAUCAGGUAUUGUCACGUGAAUGAAAUUAGAAAGUUUGGCAGCAACACUCUCCCAGAACUGAGCCACAGGUGGACAUUCUCAUAUUAUAUGUAGAAAGGGCCAGAGGAUCUCUGAGUUUCUGAUGGAUUUAGUCAGCUUGUUCUGUCUUGUGAUGGCCUGUUUUAAUAGCAUUGACACUUAUUUGAUCCUCAUGUUGAGAAACCACAGGAACAGACUUGCAAAUGCAAAUGCCGCACCUUGAGUCAACUGUAGACUUGUGAGCGUUAUUUUGCCUGAACUAAUGAUGCAACACAGCUAGCCAAGAAACAGCUGAGCAGCCAAUUGUCCAAUUACUUUUGAUGCCUUAAAUGGGUGUAUACGAACAGGGCUGUAAUUCCUACAGGGAUCACCAAAUAUGGAUUUAAAUACCCUCAAAUUAAAGCCAACAGUCUGCACUUUACAUAUUCAGUGUUACAAUUCAAAUCCAAUGUGAUUGAGUGCAGAGCCUAAACAAAAAUUAUGUCACUGUGCAAAAACGGACUGCACUGUACGAAAAUGCACAAAUCAAUAAAAUAAUUAUUUCCAUCUUUACCACAUUUUCUUCAGAUAGUGAGAUGGAAAAUACAGAACCAGGAUACGUUAACUAAUUUAGGAAACAUUAGGAAACAUUGCUUUCGAAUAAAGAUGAAUUUCUGUGAGCUAUGAUAGCCAAAUAUUGUUUGCUGUAACUUUACAUUACAUUACAUUUAUUUGGCAGACGCUUUUAUUCAAAGCAACGUACAAUAAGUGCAAGUUCUCAUUUUGUCUCAUUUUGAUAUCUAUACUUUUUAACGACAGGCUUAGGUUUAGCAAGUUUUAAUUAAUGACAUAUCGAUACUGACGUGUUUUUGUGGACAUUUGUCUACAUGACGCUGCUCGCGUGUAGUGGUACGUCAUCAGCUGCAGAAACCAGAGUACAGCUGGUAGAAGACAGCAUUGUGACAUCACAAGGGUGAACAUUCCGCCAUUCAUUUAAAUUUGAUUUGUUGGGGGGAUUAAAAAAAAUACGAUAAAAGCAAGCAAACUAAUGAUCAUGCAAAACCGAUAAACAAUAGGAAUGCUGCUCUAGAGUUCUGGAUUUUAUGACCUCACAAUAGAAUAACGUGACAUCACAGCGGAGGUCAUUCCAGGUGUUUCUCGGUAUUAUUUAAAUUGAGGCAAAUUGCAAAGGAACCGACCAGUGGUUUAUGAAUUGACUUAUAAUCUUUAUCGUUCUUAAACCAACAUGGAUUAGCAUGGAUAUUGUUUCCAAGACAAACAUUGAAACCAAAAUCCGUAAGGUAGGCUGUAAUCCGUUAUUUCUAGUGACCAAUUUCCUUGCUUUUUAAAUUUAGACGGUAGAUAUUUUUGCUGAACGAUCAGAACAAAGCAUAAUGAUUUUAAAUAUUUUAGUGAUGUCUUAAAACCAUUUACAAUCGCUUGUCCGAGUGUGCUACUGCAGUUUAGGCUGUUAAUGAUAAAUGGACCUAUAAAUUGCGACAGACCAGUUGUUAUAGAUUUAUAAGAGACUCCUGAGUUUGAAUUGAGGCGGUGAAAGUUUAAAUGCGUACUAUUAAUUUUUCUCCACAGGAAUACUCCAUAAGAGUGACCACUGUGCACUGUGCCUAAAUGCAUUACCAAACAAGCCCAAUUAGCAUAUCUGGAAUUCACUCCCAACUGCCCAACUAAUCGCUAUUGAUAUUUCGUGAUGUAGUUCCAUUAUAUUUUUCUCAAAUUUUGAUUAUGAUCUUCAGUCAUAAUCGUCAGUUUAAUUACUGAAUUCCCACAUAACUGUUUUAAAGCUAUCUAUAACUGAAUAGCUAAUAACUGUUUUAAGCUAUCUAUAACUACAUUGGUGUUUUUGUUAUGUUUCUGUGUAAACCUGAUGUAGUUGUUCUUUGCAUUCGUGAAGUUCUUUUUUGUCCGUGAAUCUCUCAUGCUGUGUAUGUGAUGCCUGUCUUUAAUUGCAAAAAUACACGCUGCUUUGAAUAAAAAAACAAACAAAAAAAAAAAAAAAACAAGAAAAUAAAUUAAUAAAACUAAUAUUUUGUUUUUCCACUGAAGGAUUAUGGUGUUUUACAUGGCUCUGUGGAGUAUGUAGCAACAACAAUACUCUGCUGGAGUAGGACCAAAUAUGAAGAGCAGAAAGGGAUACUUCAGCACUUCCUGUCCUUCAAAGGAAAGGGCCAAGUCCCCACCUACAUCACCUGUGGGGACAUUAAAGACUGGAUAAUCUCGGAUGGACAAAACAUCCUUAGGGAGAGAUUUCAGACGGACAGCUGUGAGCAGCGAGAUGGCCUCAUUCACCUGGUCUGGGAGGUGAACAUGAGGCUAAAGCUGCAGGACAUGGGCAGAGAACUGGGAAUGAGUCCCAGCAGCUCAGAAGCACCUCCGCUGAGCGCCCAGGAUACCCAGCGUGCCGCUCUCGCUGACCUG
This is a long non-coding RNA of Anguilla rostrata (American eel), 4773 nucleotides long. RefSeq lists it as uncharacterized. NCBI's taxonomy places the organism in Eukaryota, Metazoa, Chordata, Actinopteri, Anguilliformes, Anguillidae. The transcript has 5 exons. The record is from RefSeq and is a predicted model, not a curated record.